GUCCACGCCGUAAACGAUGGAUACUUGAUGUUAGUGGUAUUGACCCCACUAGUGUCGGAGCUAACGCGUUAAGUAUCCCGCCUGGGGAGUACGGUCGCAAGAUUAAAACUCAAAGAAAUUGACGGGGGCCCGCACAAGCGGUGGAGCAUGUGGUUUAAUUCGAUGCAACGCGAAGAACCUUACCCGGGCUUGACAUGUACUGGAAGACUAGCGGAGACGCUGUCGCUCGCAAGAGUCGGUACACAGGUGCUGCAUGGCUGUCGU
Molecule: ribosomal RNA, 264 nt
Filed under: uncultured bacterium
Lineage: Bacteria
Description: partial 16S ribosomal RNA
Rfam family: Bacterial small subunit ribosomal RNA
Source: RNAcentral